GACGAACGCUGGCGGCGUUCCUAAUACAUGCAAGUUGAGCGCUGGAGGGUGGUACUUGUACCAAUGGGAUUAGCAGCGGACGGGUGAGUAACGCGUGGGGAAUCUGCCUUUGAGCGGGGGAUAACAUUGGGAAACGAAUGCUAAUACCGCAUAAAAACUUUAAACACAAGUUUUAAGUUUGAAAGAUGCAAUUGCAUCACUCUAAGAUGAUCCCGGGUUGUAUUAGCUAGUUGGUUAGGUAAAGGCUCACCAAGGCGAUGAUACAUAGCCGACCUGAGAGGGUGAUCGGCCACAUUGGGACUGAGACACGGCCCAAACCCCCACGGGAGGCAGCAGUAGGGAAUCUUCCGGAAUGGACGAAAGUCUGAACGAGCAACGCCGCGUGAGUGAAGAAGGUUUUCGGAUCGUAAAACCCUGUUGGUAGAGAAGAACGUUGGUGAGAGUGGAAAGCUCAUCAAGUGACGGUAACUAACCAGAAAGGGACGGCUAACUACGUG
This 497-nucleotide ribosomal RNA is filed under the name uncultured bacterium. RNAcentral's name for it is "partial 16S ribosomal RNA". It matches the Rfam family "Bacterial small subunit ribosomal RNA", at positions 28 to 507 of the family's 1533-position model. The record is from RNAcentral.